Odocoileus virginianus texanus is the source of this 1520-nucleotide non-coding RNA. The record is from RefSeq and is a predicted model, not a curated record. Lineage: Eukaryota; Metazoa; Chordata; Mammalia; Artiodactyla; Cervidae.
CUGGAGUUGGCAAGCUACUAUGAUUUUCCUUCUAGAAUGAAGCCCCUUUGGGAUACUCUAACUUUUGAAAGGAAAAGAACAUCUAACAUGAGGAAAAAACAAACCAGACAGACAGCUCAUUAGAAGCUCAUUAUGACAACCGAGAUAACGCCAGUCACGACUUCAGGAAGGAGCGUCCAGACUGUGGAGAAAUAGAAGAAACACAUCCAGAAAGCAGAUUUUCUACAGCAAAAUACCCAGAGUCAGCUUCACCUGGCAGAAAACAUGAACCAAGGGCUUUGUUCCAGUGCAGUUUGGAGAGGCAUAUACUGGAUUUUUCAUUCAGUCAACAAGUAGUAAUUGGAGAGUAAAUGAACACUGUUCUAAGCACUUGGAAAACUGCAAUGAACAAAAGAGAUAAAAGUUCUUCCAUCAUGAAGCUGUGACAGUUUAUUGCCAUGUUCCAGAGAGAAAGAACAUCUUGCUGUGUACCUGUCAUAGAAGAUUCUGGAACUUUGAGUUCACUGUCUUUCAAAUGCCCUUGAUGACUCUGUGGAUGAAGAGGUUAGUAUGUGUGUCCAUGUGUGCUGUGUGAAAGAGAGAAGAAAAGAAACAGGAAAAGAAAGCAACAUUGAAACAGAAUAAACCAAGAGAGAAACUAUGUUUUAAAAGUAAUAGGUUUACCUUUAUGAUCUAGUGAAAACACAGAAGACAGUAGUACUGAGAAAAAAAAUAGACACACAAAGGAGCACUGGAACAGAUGGGGAGACCUGCUAUUCUUUGUGUUUGGAAGAUACAAAAUAUCAACUCUCCCUGACAAUCUAUAAAUCUGACAUCAGAUCCCCAAAACUUCAUAAUGAUGUUUUGAACUAGAUAAGCCGAUUUUCAAGGAAGAGGAAAAAUCUGGGUUGGGGGAAUGGUAAGCUCUAUCAGAUAGUGAAAUACAAAGUGUCAAUAACUAAGACCACAGUACUAAUUCAUAAGUAAACAGACAGAACAAUGGAACUGAAAGAAUGCCCAGAAAGAGUUCCAAAUGCAUAUGGGAAUAUAACGUCUAAUCAACACGGCUCAUUGCUCAGGGCUCUGUCUGCCUCACCACCAUUGUCAACCACACUGCUGGUCUUUUGCCUCUUUCUCGUUAGUAAGAGGCUCAGUGCUAACCAGAAGCCCCUGGCACAGAACGGCUCAGGAUUAGGACAGAGUGCAGGAUUUAGAUGGUAAGAAGCUGAGUAACCAUUCUGUUCUACCGCUUGUGGUUUGAUGAACUUGAAUUUGGAACUUAAGUGCGCUGAGCUUUGGUUUCAUUGUUGAUAAUGGAAAAAUAACAAAAUCCAUAUCAAAGAAUCAUUGUGAGGGUAAAAUAAGUCAAUACAUAUUAAUCUACCUAACAAAUUCUGGUACUGAAAAAAAUGAAAAUAUCCGAGUUGAAUAGCUUAGUAUGCACCUUAACUGGGUUAACUUAAUAGGCACCAACUCUGGGUUGAUUGUUUAAAAACUUGUCUGUCUGCGGACAGAAAUUGCUUUCUAAAAAUCUCAAAUCU